GGAGAGGACCGUAUGGUCCGCCCGUCGGAUUCAGUCCGCCUGCGCGGCGACGGCGCCGGUCGCGCAUCCCUCGUGGGAGCGCGCCGGCGUCCGCCUCGUCGUGCGGCGGCCGUACUUUCGGCGGGCGGAGCGCCACGACCGGUUCGUCGGCGGCGAUAAACUCCCGGGCAAGGUGACCUUCGUCUCGGCGCAGGAGCAUACAGGCCCGGCGAGCGCAGGCCCGUCGGCGGACCGAGGAAGACCGUCGCGGAGCGGCGUCGACCGCCCGUCGUGUGGUUGUGUUCGACUCGGGGGGACUGGUUCCAGUGCCCUCGGACCGCGCGAUCGCAACGGCGGGACGGCCCGGCGUCGCGCCUGGGGUCGGUGGCGAAACGGCCGGCAACCUGUCCGACCCGUCUUGAAACACGGACCAAGGAGUCUAACAUGUGCGCGAGUCGUUGGGCGCUACGAAACCCGAAGGCGCAAUGAAAGUGAAGGCCCGGUCUCCGGCCGGCCUGGGUGGGAUCCGGCGGCCUCGGCCGUCGGCGCACCACCGGCCCGUCUCGUUCGCCGCGUCGAAGAGGCGGAGCAAGAGCGUACACGUUGGGACCCGAAAGAUGGUGAACUAUGCCCGAGUAGGACGAAGCCAGAGGAAACUCUGGUGGAGGUCCGCAGCGAUUCUGACGUGCAAAUCGAUCGUCAAACUUGGGUAUAGGGGCGAAAGACUAAUCGAACCAUCUAGUAGCUGGUUCCUGUCGAAGUUUCCCUCAGGAUAGCUGGCGCUCGUCGUGAGCAGUUUUAUCCGGUAAAGCGAAUGACUGGAGGCCUUGGGGACGAAACGUCCUCAACCUACUCUCAAACUUUAAAUGGGUAAGACGUCCGACUCGCUCGAUUGGAGCCGGGCAACGAAUG
RNAcentral lists this ribosomal RNA (891 nucleotides) under Aporrectodea jassyensis. Its description in RNAcentral is "eukaryotic LSU rRNA". The stretch from base 409 to 891 matches the Rfam family "Eukaryotic large subunit ribosomal RNA", at positions 665 to 1114 of the family's 3401-position model. The record is from RNAcentral. Lineage: Eukaryota; Metazoa; Annelida; Clitellata; Crassiclitellata; Lumbricidae.